UGAUAUGCUCUAAAUCAGAAUUCUCUAACACCCACAUAACACAGAUUUUAAAAUGGCCCACAAGAACCUAUUUCACCUUUUUAAUUAAGAAGCUUCCAAGAACUCCAAAAUGCUAAAGGAAAAGACAGCAUAGCUUGGAAUUUUGCAUUUUCAGCCGAAACAAUUGAACCAACAACCAAUAUCUCUUCAAAAAGUUGCAGAAGAAGAUUAAGUCAAUGGACAACUUCUCAAUAAAACGUGUCAACACCAAUGCAAAAGGGUCCCCAAAGAAACCAAUGGUGACAUAGAAUUCGAUACAAAUCUUAAAGGAAAAACUUUUGAGGGUCCCUUUCAGUAGAGAGGCUACAGAUGUUUGUCGUUCUCUUAUUGGUCCGUCUCACAUUAACAUCAGCUUUUUGGGGAUACCAUCUACAAUAAUGUUUGACAUCAUUGCAUGCCUCACCCACAUGACUGCCAACACUCACAAUCCUGAACAAAAAUUCAAUUAUAGGAAGGGGAAAAAAUGAUCUCUUUGAACCACCUACCUUACACAGCUUAAAAAACAGAUAUAAAAUGUUGCAAGAAAGCAAACUAAGUCUCUGAUGUGUCUAUGUUUUAUAUGAGAAGACAUGUGGAAUGCACAUGUGUACAUCUGGAUAGCCCAUAUUUAGAUAUGAUAAUGUUGAGUAGGGAACAAAAUCUAGGACGUGGCAUCUAACAAACCAGAGAUAUGCCUGUUUCAUUUGAUAACUGAAGCAAAAAAUGGAAAAGAAUAUCAGAAACCAUGACCUUAUAGGGAAUAAUAAACAAUAUUGCUAUCAAAGACGGACCCAAGAUUUCAGACAAGCGACCUCAAGGCUACCAUAAACGCCUAAUAUUCUUUAUGGUUUGCGUAGAAAACACACUGUAUAUUCUUAAUAACUUGAAGGCAAGACUGUCAUUUUAGUUUCCACCUAAGCAAAUUCUUUUAGGCUCAAACUACAUGGUUUUGAUGUCUGUCUUUUUGCUUUUGAUAAGCUAAAACCAAAACGACUGCUUUGACUCAACUCAAAAUGAAAAUUUUCAAUUCCAAGUGAUGUCAUUUUUAAUAAUUAUUGUAUUAAUCUUCACAAACUUCUCAGAAAAAAUUGUCUUAAUCUUUAGGAUAGCAGCUAGUCUCCCAAAACUUACUUUCCACCUUCUUUCUUUAAAACUUAUAUCUUGUUGCUAUUAAUGAUUAAAACUUUGGUAAGACUUUACAAGAUUCUACAAAUUGUUUUUCUAAACACAUAAACAAUUUAGCAAAUUGAACUAUUUAUAGACUUUGGGUAUGCAAAUGCAUACUUUCUGUUGAACUCCUAGACCUCGAUUUAAGUACCAAUCUGUCUCUAAAUUCCUAGAUGUCUAACGUCCUUAAAGGUAAAGACACAGGCAAAUAAAUCCAAACACUUACAAAUUUCACCAUUCAUUUAUUCCUCUCACUAGAAGAAAUCUACAAAGACAGCAGUAGGUAACAUCUCAAAACUCAAUAAUCAGAAACAGACACAAAAUCAAUCAACUUCUCCAAAAUCCCGUGUUAGCGUAUUUGAAUGAUAGCCUAUGAAACAAUUCCCAAAUCACUGGAUUCAACAAAAUCAUGAAGGCAUUCAAAAAUUGGCUAAAUAUACCAAAGAUAAUGACCAAAGGACUACUAAACUUUACUUAUUCCAUACUUCAAGCAGGAAGAUGCAGUAGCAGACUGUUGAGCUAAACAUGACACAAAAUUUGGACAUCUGUGUUUUCUUUUCUUUAUUUUUCCUUUUUUGAGGGGGGGGGGGGGGGGGGGUGAGGGGCGGCUGGGGACAUUAAAAUUGAGAAUGAAAAAGCCAAAGGUUCCAAUGUAUUCGAAUGCACGAUAUAAGCCCAACCCCUUUGCCAGCAUUUCGAAAUUUACCAGUGUUCAGUGGCCUUUGUACAGAGUAAAUUUUUUCCCAAAACGGAUUAGAUUAAACCUCCUUCGAUACAACAAGCAUCCGAUCUGAUAGCUAUACUAAAUGAUUUAAGCCAAACAUAUCAUCCCAGACAAGACAAUUAUGUUAGGUUUCAUUUUUUCAUCAGCAAACACAAGUUGUCAAUGCAGAAACAAAAGCAAAGACACUACAGCUACAGGGGAACAUGUCCGAAUGAACAAAAUAGAAACUUACGAAGCCUAUUCAAUAAAACAUUGCACCUAUACUACUAAACCCCUAUGGAAUAUGGUCAUGAAAACAAGUUCCAGUAGCACAACAUGUAUAUCUAAACUAUUUGUGAAGAAUAAGAAAAGACGUGUAUUGAUGACAAGAUAAUUUGAUGAAUAAACAUAUUUAUAGGUCUCAAACAAAAUACAAUUCGUUCAAUAUAGGACGUCGCUAAAUUAGAACUUAACACUUAUGAACAUUUUCAACAUGCCUCCAACAAAACCAAAGCCAAGCUUCAGGUGCUGAGGCAACCGACAGAGCAGAAUUGGCGCCUCACCAGACUUCAGUUGAGGUGCUGCAUAAAAGCGAUUAACAAGCGCACACCUGGGUUAAGGCACAAGGCCUUUAGCAUGCGCAUCUUUCAAGCCAAAAAAGGGGGGUUGGAGGGGGAGGGGUAUUAGGAUCCAGGAAAGAAAAAGGAAAUCUUCUGAAGGAGCAAAAGAGACAUACUCAAUGAGAACUGAGAAGACAAUAGAGAACAAACAACUUGAGAAGAUCAUCAACGAUCUCAGUCUGAAGAAGUGCAGGAAAGAGAGAUCUUCACAGAAUUCUUCUUUCUUCUAAUUCCUUUCUUUAUUUUUUUCUUUUGGCAAACAUUAGACUGCCUGCAUUUUUUUUUCCCCUCAUAUUUCUUUUCUUUUCUCUUUUGGGGAAAAUAGAGAAUCACGUUCUGCUGCUAAGCCUCCAUUUCUUGUUUUCUUCUUCUCCUAGUGCGCUUCUUCUUUCUAUGGCCUGUGGAAGCCUCUGUCAUUUUUUUUCUUUUCGGGAAAGAGAUAACUGCUCUAUUUAUAGUUAAGAGACAUAAAGUGAUUUGUCUUUUGAUGAUAAUCAGAAAACUCAAAGAACUUAAUUAAUAUACACCAAGAUGGUGUUAGGCUUAUUAUAAAAACAUUGAAUAGAAGGAUGCAUAAGCUCCCCAAGAACCAAGCUAAUCGUCUAUACAGUAAGGAACUUCCUGUUUAGACCAAAAGAACACUAGGAAAAACAUAGGAUUGUAAUUUAACAAUGAACGUCCAGUUUCCUCAAACGUUAUCAUACUCCUCUCUCUCUGUAUUUCUAGAAAUUUAUUGCAUGGAGCGGUUCUCCAUAACUUUCUCCUAUCACAUUUAGCUUAUCCAAUCUCCAACUCACCGGUGCUUUUUUCUCGAGAAAGAACCAAUGGAUGUUGAAAAUGAAGAACAUCAUGGCUCAUAGUUUCGUUGCAAACUUACAAUAGGUGAUCCACGCGUUCAUCAUGAUUUUUACACGUGAACACCAAUUGACCACUAUGCAUCUCCUUCUUCUUGAGUUGUUAAAAUUGGCUUUGAACUCAAGUAAGGUCGUUGAGUUGUUAAAAUUGCUCCCGACAUUGCAUACCAUGUAAAAAAGUACCUCUUAGGUACCUCCAUGUUCCAUGUUGUUGACCAAAUGGACAUUGUACACCUUCAUCAAGUAAGAGGUUAUAGAUGUCGUUACUUAAAAACAUUUUCAUUAGGAGCUAAAUUUGGAUUAGUAUAUAAAAGAUUGGACUAGAACAAGAAACUAAAACAAGGAUUAGGUUAGAGUGGUAUGAGGAUUUGAACUAGUACUAGGAGUAAGCAGAGAAGUAGGAUUCCAAUUUUAUCCACCACCUUAGACCUAGUCCUACUUCUGAUCUAACUCCUAAUUCAAGUCCUUGUGGUCUAAAUCCUAAACCUAAUCUAGGAGCAAGUAAAGAAUUAGGAUCCCAAUUUAACCCAAACCAUAGCCGUAGUCCUUAUUCUAAUCUAAGUCCUUGUAGUAACACUGGUCUAAAUCCUAAACCUAAUAUUUGCUCCUAAUUCUAGCACCCAGUUCUACUUCUAAUUCUGAUCCUACUACUAUCAUGGGAAACUUACUCUAUUCAUCAGCUUCAGCUUUAGAAAAGCAGCUAUUUGGUCUGAAAAGAGCUCCAAACAAACUUGGUUCCAAAAGACAGCAUGACCCACAAAUAAUUACAGGACCAAAGCCGAUAAAAUCAGCACAUUAGAUACCAUGUGUGACUAAAGAUAAAAAAGCCAAAUUUUUUGAAGGUGGAAUUUCUCUCAUUCAUUAUGUUAUAACAUAGCCAUAGUUUCAUUUGGAGGCAGAAGCCAAUAUGGUAACCAACUACCCAUAUGGCAUUGUUUCAUGGAAUGUGAUUCGCUCAAGAAUGAAUUGAAUCUUCAAAUAAUGGAGUUUAGGCCUAUCUUAACCCCAAAAGCUAACUCAUGAAAAGGAGACAAAAGUCCUUUCUCUCAACCAAUGUGGAAAAUUCGGACACUGCCCCGGCCACUCCUUGCCUUCUUCUUAGGUGCUAUGUACUGAAAAUUAGAACAACGCAUGAGUUAAAAAGGGGCAGUCUUAUAAUCAAGCUCUAUCGCACGAUCUAGAAUAACAAAGAAGGGUGACAUUCCUAAAUGCCCAAGUCCGCCUAUGCCCCAGGCCUGAACAUUGUGGAUAACAUAACAUGGGGGUCCAACAUUGAGAAACACAACAACAAAGAUGAGUUUGGCUCUAAUACCAUGUAAAGAAAAUGGACCUUGGGCCUAACUCAAUCUCAAAAGCUAGCUCAGGAGAUGAGAAUUGUCCAAAACCAAACAAGGAGAGAACAAUGUACUCCUUCAACGAAUAUCUAACAGAAACAAGAAAAGCACAUCUAUUUAAUGGCUUGUUAAUAUGAAUCGUAAUAGCGAUUACAACGAAAGUGUGAUGCGCCUCAUGUAUUAACAAAUAUUGACUAGAGCCAUUUCAAACCUUAAUUUCAUAUCAUGUAUAUGAAAGGAAGAAAGAAAAAAUAUAUAUCUUUGUUGCUUUAGGAACAAGCUCCGAGUGAGGUGACAUACUAAAUGUUAAGAUAUUUGAAAGAAUAAAAUUUGGUUGGAUGUUUGAUAUAUAAUCAAGUUACAGUAUAUCAAAUAUACUCAAAGGGAAAGUGUAGCAUAUUCUCUUUAAAAGAUAUUUGAAAGAGAAGAAAGACCAAAGAACAUGAAGACACAUACCUCAUGCAUGCUAAAAAGAUCUAAGAAUGUAUAUCAAUAAUAUAGAUAAAUGAGAAAGUGAGGAUGAAGAAGCAAAAGUCUACUUCUAUCCUAUGAGGCGGGGCCAAGGGCACAAUUGUUUAAGGAACAAAAUAAAGCCGUAACAGAUAUAAGAAUGUCAUAAUUAUGAGACUGAGGUGGGGUAGUCAUUGUGAAGCGGUAUGCGUGAUUUAAAAAAUGAUGCAAAACAAAAGUAAAAUGCACCUAUGCCUAACACCAAAAGAUUCUUUAGCAUCAAGAGGGGGAUUUUUUCAUUAACUUAUUCUCCACCCCACCACUCCAAUCUUCCAUUAAUGAAAUGCGGUAAUUCAAACAACCCAACCUCUCCAAUCUUCUAUCCUGUGAACCAUCACGUGGAAUGGUACCAUUACCUCAAUCCUUGAAUGUCCAGAAUGCAGCAGUUCCGAACUCCCAUCAGGGCUAACCACCUCCUAAUAACACAGAAAUAGUUAGCACUGUCACACCUACUCUGCAACUUCAUAAUACUACUGGUAAAGAAGUUCUCAGCUAUAAACCCCUAGAGACAAAAUUCUCAACCCCGUGGAAUAGGCAAUAAAAUACUUUGAGAUUCAUCAAGUACCUAAUACUAUGAAGAUAAGCUAUAUCUGGAUAGAUAUAAAAGGGGGAUCCACUGAUAGUUUGACAGUUCUAUGAUAGAUCAUGGUGGGUAAUUUGUACGAAGACAUCAUUUGUGAUGUUUAUAGAAGGUCUGGAAACACUAGAUCUCCGGUAGAGAUUGACAAAUUCAGUGAGCUCAGUAGGCCAAUGACGUGGAAGCUUAUCUAUAGAAGUUUGAAGAACUGAGGUCUUACACGCUCAUUAAAAAGCCCUUCAUUCAUGUGAAUCCAAUUCCUAUUUCAAUUAGACACUAAUGCCUAGGAUAUUUAACUCAAUAGUACCUAUCAAAAAGAUAAGGAUAUCUAACCCAACAAUUCUAACAGAUCGUAAGAAGGAGCAAAGUAGCACAAGAAUCUAUCAAUGGGAUUAGCAAACUUCUACUCCAUAGUCCAGUUACCCUCCUAUAACAAAUCUGAACACCAAGCACCUAACACAACGCUUCCUCAGCCAUACUUCCAUACUAUCGAGUCUUCCACCUACAAACCUUUUCAACUUUCCGUAACCUAAAAUAGAAUCGACCAAGAGAAUAGAAGUUAGAAGUACUUUAUCGAUGCAAGCCAAAACCCCUCAAUGCUAAUGAAGGAGGGGAUAGCAGAAAAUAUUGGGGAGGUUGAUGCAGAGGCAAUUCAAGAGAGCGUGACACUAAAUGGUGUCCAUGGGUGUCAAAUUCCCCCGUGACCCUCCAAAUUGUUCGAACCACUAAGAGGUGGGCAUAAUUUGUCUAAAGCAGCUCAAAUUCAGGGUUAUUCUUGGCAAUAUAGCCAUGCAAGUUACUACGGGCAAUGAUCACAUUCACAGGACCUUAUGGUCAAAAAUUCAGUAUAUAUGUGUCAAUAACAGCUUUCUAAAAAACAAUACGCACUUGUACAACAAGCUGACCCACUUGAAAAUAAUGCAAACUAUACAUCAACUUGGGAGAAGACGUAAAGCUUUAGAACUCACACAGCCCUAGACCCAAAUCUAAACAGACCUGAUACUGCACAUGACUUAUACCAUCAGCUACAACCGAACUUGUUGAGAUAUGCAAGGUGAAUCUUUCAUUUUCAAUUUCAGAAUGCAAAAGGUUAACCUCAAGUUAGAAAUGGAUUGAUUGACCUCUAUUCCCGGUUAUGUUAGACUUGUGACGUAACCAAGUGUCAUUCUGGGGAUGAUAAGGGAGAAUCAAGGGGUACUAGGUGGGCUCACAGAAGGAAAUGGCUGCUUAAACUUUUUCAGCAAUGUGUUAUUCAAGUGUUCUCCACUGCAACAGCCAACAAGUAUAUAAGCACUAUGCACUGACAGAGUAAAAAAUAUUUACACAAUGAGGUCACUUAAUAGGCAACCGCAGAUAGCUCUCUACACAAACAUAAAUUAGUGUAAGAUAUGUUUACAUUGUCAGUGCACAUAACUUAAGCUCUUGCAACAAAGCUGAACAAAUAGAGAAAUUGAUCGUAAAAUUAGUCAGGAAUUUUAUCCAUUUACACUUGAUCCAUAGAGUCUGUUUGAUUUCUAAUUUGUUAGAGUCAGUUAAAACUUAAAAGGAAUUUCUAGCUGGAGCAUGUCAGCUCUCGGCUCCAUAAAUUGAGGUUACAAUCACACGAACUCCCAUUUUAUAAUUGUUCCCUUAUUUCGUUUAGUGGCAAUCAGUAAUCACAACAAUCACGUAUCCAUAUUGUUUCAUAAAUUCAUCCAUAAACAUUAAAUUAAUGAGAUAAAAUAGAAUUUACCAUUGGUUGGUUCGGUUUCUGCUGAUUGAGGAAAUUACAACUGAGGAACAACGACAUCAGUUAUCAACAGUCUACCCCGUGUAAACACCUUAAACUGUAUCAUUUGCUUCUUAGACUGCUGUAAUUUGAAGGGAUGGGCGGCUGUAAUUCAACAAAUCCCCGCGAUUUCAACUUUUUUUGGCUUUUUCUCAUUUUUCUUCGUUAAUGGCAUGAGGCCCAUUGCCCAAUUGUUGGGCGAUUCUGUUUUCCAUUUUCCUUCUUCCUUUUUUCUUUUUAGCCGCCAACCCCCUCGUUUGGUUUUAGGUAUCAAAACUCACUCCAAUGUCUGAACCAUAGAAAUAUGACUAUGAACGAGGGGUGC
Molecule: long non-coding RNA, 7876 nt
Filed under: Nicotiana tabacum (common tobacco)
Lineage: Eukaryota; Viridiplantae; Streptophyta; Magnoliopsida; Solanales; Solanaceae
Description: long non-coding RNA (NTAB_LNC012548)
Source: RNAcentral